GAUGAACGCUGACAGAAUGCUUAACACAUGCAAGUCGAUGGGGAAGUGGUGCUUGCACCAUGGCAACCAUGGCGGACGGGUGAGUAACGCGUAAGGGACUUACCUGCAGGACUGGGAUAACAGGGGAAAACUCCUGACAAGACCGGAUAAUGUCAUGGAGCUGCAUGGCUUUAUGAUGAAAGGAGACGCCUGCGGAGAGCCUUGCGUCCUAUUAGCUAGUUGGUGAGGUAAUGGCUCACCAAGGCGAAGAUAGGUAGCCGGCCUGAGAGGGUGGACGGCCACAAGGGGACUGAGAUACGGCCCUUACUCCUACGGGAGGCAGCAGUGGGGAAUAUUGGACAAUGGGGGCAACCCUGAUCCAGCAAUUCUGUGUGCACGAAGAAGGUUUUCGGAUUGUAAAGUGCUUUCAGCAGGGAAGAAGUAAGUGACGGUACCUGCAGAAGAAGCGACGGCUAAAUACGUG
This 463-nucleotide ribosomal RNA is filed under the name uncultured bacterium. Its description in RNAcentral is "partial 16S ribosomal RNA". It matches the Rfam family "Bacterial small subunit ribosomal RNA", at positions 28 to 507 of the family's 1533-position model. The record is from RNAcentral.